Bacillus sp. B-jedd is the source of this 101-nucleotide regulatory RNA element. It matches the Rfam family "SAM riboswitch aptamer (S box leader)". From Rfam's summary of the family: The SAM riboswitch is found upstream of a number of genes which code for proteins involved in methionine or cysteine biosynthesis in Gram-positive bacteria. Lineage: Bacteria; Bacillati; Bacillota; Bacilli; Caryophanales; Bacillaceae. The record is from Rfam.
AUCUUAUCAAGAGAGGCGGAGGGAAUGGCCCGAUGAAGCCCGGCAACCGGUUAUUGACACGGUGCCAAGUCCAGCAAGGCACAGCCUUGUAAAGAUAAGGA